AGUGAACGCUGGCGGUAGGCCUAACACAUGCAAGUCGAACGGCAGCACAGUAAGAGCUUGCUCUUACGGGUGGCGAGUGGCGGACGGGUGAGGAAUACAUCGGAAUCUACUUUUUCGUGGGGGAUAACGUAGGGAAACUUACGCUAAUACCGCAUCCGACCUACGGGUGAAAGCAGGGGAUCUUCGGACCUUGCGCGAUUGAAUGAGCCGAUGUCGGAUUAGCUAGUUGGCGGGGUAAAGGCCCACCAAGGCGACGAUCCGUAGCUGGUCUGAGAGGAUGAUCAGCCACACUGGAACUGAGACACGGUCCAGACUCCUACGGGAGGCAGCAGUGGGGAAUAUUGGACAAUGGGCGCAAGCCUGAUCCAGCCAUACCGCGUGGGUGAAGAAGGCCUUCGGGUUGUAAAGCCCUUUUGUUGGGAAAGAAAAGCAGCAGGUUAAUACCCCGCUGUUCUGACGGUACCCAAAGAAUAAGCACCGGCUAACUUCGUA
Molecule: ribosomal RNA, 492 nt
Filed under: uncultured bacterium
Lineage: Bacteria
Description: partial 16S ribosomal RNA
Rfam family: Bacterial small subunit ribosomal RNA
Source: RNAcentral